GUGUUCACUUUAGCAGCGCAUAUACUAAAAUUGGAAUGAUACAAAGAUUAGCAUGCCUCCUGCACAAGGAUGAUAUACAAAUUGCUGAAGCAUUCCGUAGUUUU
This is a small nuclear RNA of Trichechus manatus latirostris (Florida manatee), 104 nucleotides long. Lineage: Eukaryota; Metazoa; Chordata; Mammalia; Sirenia; Trichechidae. The record is from RefSeq and is a predicted model, not a curated record.